Molecule: ribosomal RNA, 253 nt
Filed under: uncultured bacterium
Lineage: Bacteria
Description: partial 16S ribosomal RNA
Rfam family: Bacterial small subunit ribosomal RNA
Source: RNAcentral
UACGAAGGGGGCUAGCGUUGUUCGGAUUUACUGGGCGUAAAGCGCAUGUAGGCGGGCCGAUAAGUUGGGGGUGAAAUCCCGGAGCUCAACUCCGGAACUGCCUCCAAAACUGCCGGCCUGGAGCGUGAUAGAGGCGAGUGGAAUUCCGAGUGUAGAGGUGAAAUUCGUAGAUAUUCGGAGGAACACCAGUGGCGAAGGCGACUCGCUGGAUCAUUGCUGACGCUGAGAUGCGAAAGCGUGGGGAGCAAACAGG